Long non-coding RNA from Stegodyphus dumicola, 354 nucleotides. NCBI's taxonomy places the organism in Eukaryota, Metazoa, Arthropoda, Arachnida, Araneae, Eresidae. The record is from RefSeq and is a predicted model, not a curated record.
GUAAUUUGUCAUCAUUUUUGUGCACUCUUGGAUUGCAGAACAUGAUAUCGUGAAAGAAAAAGAACGAUGAUGAAAAACGGAGAAUAAUGCAGAGCAAAAAGACAUCUGUGGCUGUGUAAUUUGUCAUCAUUUUUGUGCACUCUUGGAUUGCAGAACAUGAUAUCGUGAAAGAAAAAGAACGAUGAUGGAACGGAGAAAUAAUGCAGAGCAAAAAGACAUCUGUGGCUGUGUAAUUUGUCAUCAUUUUUGUGCACUCUUGGAUUGCAGAACAUGAUAUCGUGAAAGAAAAAGAACGAUGAUGAAAAGAACGGAGAAUAAUGCAGAGCAAAAAGACAUCUGUGGCUGGUAAUUCUU